Molecule: RNA transcript, 1947 nt
Organism: Vigna unguiculata (cowpea)
Lineage: Eukaryota; Viridiplantae; Streptophyta; Magnoliopsida; Fabales; Fabaceae
Source: RefSeq, a predicted model, not a curated record
AGAGAGUUGGGUCUUUGUGGAUUUUCCAAUUGCCGCAAUAAUAUAGCUUGUGAAUUGUUUGGGUGUGGAAGGGAAAUUGAUGAUUUUUAAUGUAAAAAGGAGCGUCUCUGUCAGCAAUAUCAGGGGUUGAAAUUGAAACGGUUUUUGAUUUUAACCCUGCAAAGAGCCUUCCUUUGCGGUUUUUUUCUUUUUGAGAAGGCUCUUUGUGGUUGUUGCUUCUGAAGGAGGAAGAAAAUGAUGCGGUUAUGGAUUUCUUAUCUGCAAUUGGUGGAGCUGUUUGUGAGUUCCUUGGUUCAUUUGCUCUAUGGAUUUUACAUAUUCAGCACCGCCGUUGCUGGGGACCUGGCACAGAAUCUGAAUGAAUAUUUUCGCAAGCCUAACGCCGAUGUUGUUGAGGUCAAAGAUGGAACAUCCAAGGCCAAUGCUGAUGAUCUUCCUCCUAUUGUGUUGGUUCAUGGGAUUUUUGGAUUUGGCAAAGGGAGAUUGGGGGCUUUGUCGUACUUUGGUGGGGCGGAGAAGAAAGAUGAAAGGGUUCUUGUCCCUGAUUUGGGCUCUCUCACCAGUAUCUAUGAUAGGGCUCGAGAAUUGUUCUAUUAUUUAAAAGGCGGGCAAGUUGAUUACGGUGAGGAGCAUAGCACGGCUUGUGGACACUCGCAGUUUGGACGAAUCUAUGAACAAGGGCAUUACCCUGAGUGGGACGAGGAUCACCCUAUUCAUUUUGUUGGACACUCAGCGGGUGCACAAGUUGUUCGUGUCUUGCAACAAAUGCUUGCUGAUAAGACAUUCAAGGGUUAUGAAAACAGUUCGGAGAACUGGGUAUUAAGUAUCACCUCCUUAUCUGGAGCAUUUAAUGGGACUACAAGAACAUACACAGAUGGCAUGCAGCCAGAAGAUGGGAAAACAUUGAAACCUAUUUGCCUGCUACAGCUUUGCCGCAUUGGAGUGAUCAUAUAUGAUUGGUUUGACAUUGCGUGGCUGAAGAACUACUACAAUUUUGGGUUUGAUCACUUUAACAUGUCAUGGAGAAAGAUGGGUAUAUGGGGUCUUGUCGAUUGUCUAUUGGGGAAUGCGGGUCCAUUUGCUUCAGGAGAUUGGAUCCUCCCUGAUCUUACAAUUCAAGGCUCUAUAAAACUCAAUUACCACCUACAAACAUUUCCUAACACAUACUACUUCAGCUAUGCUACCAAACGCACAACGAAGAUCAUGGGCGUUACAGUUCCUUCAAGUAUACUUGGAAUUCACCCGAUGCUUUUCCUGAGAGUUUUGCAGAUGAGCCAGUGGCGUUUUCCUCCAGAUGUUCCUCCCCCUUACAAGGGAUACAGGGAUGAGGAUUGGCAAGACAAUGAUGGAGCACUAAACACAAUAUCCAUGACUCAUCCUCGCCUACCUAUUGAACACCCCAACUGUUUGGUUGAGAAGGAAUCAGAUUGCAAACCUUUACAACCUGGCAUCUGGUACUAUACAUAUGUGAAGGGUGAUCACAUACUAUUCAUUAUUAAUCGGGAGAGAGCAGGAGUGCAGUUUGACUUAAUCUAUGACAGUAUUUUCGAACGAUGUAGGAAACACGUUUUCAAGAAGAAGCCUCCAACAAUGCCGAAUGAAAUCAAUCAUUAGCACAUCAUUCUUUACUCUCCUUUCAUUCAACUACAAGAGACAUAUAAAAACCCUUCACCUUCACCUUUGUAAAUAAGAGCUGAUUGAUGACAGAUUCUGGAACCUCUUCAAUGUCAAAACCGUUUGUUUUUUCAGACACACACAUGGCUUUUUCUUACAACGCAAAGUCUAUGAUGAUGAAGAUCUAGAUCAUACUGCUGAAUCUUUACAAUGGUACAGUGACAGGUGUUGUACAACAGGGAAACUAAACUCAUCUUGUAAAUUUUUUGACACUUUCCUUCCACAUCAGACAGAGAAAAAUACUUAUCCGAUAAUUAAUUUCAAAAAGGAAAA